GACCCUUCGGGAGCUUGCACAGGUGCUGCAUGGCUGUCGUCAGCUCGUGUCGUGAGAUGUUCGGUUAAGUCCGCUAACGAGCGCAACCCUCGCUGUGUGUUAUAUGUGUCACACGGGACUGCCGGUCUUAAGCCGGAGGAAGGUGGGGAUGAUGUCAAGUCAGCAUGGCCUUUAUAUCCUGGGCUACACACACGCUACAAUGGCCAACACAAUAGGUUGCUAAGCCGCGAGGUGGCGCCAAUCCAUAAAGUUGGUCUCAGUUCAGAUUGUAGGCUGCAACCCGCCUGCAUGAAGAUGGAGUUGCUAGUAACCGCAGGUCAGCUAUACUGCGGUGAAUACGUUCCCGGGGGCUU
Molecule: ribosomal RNA, 353 nt
Filed under: uncultured Leptolinea sp.
Lineage: Bacteria; Bacillati; Chloroflexota; Anaerolineae; Anaerolineales; Anaerolineaceae
Description: bacterial SSU rRNA
Rfam family: Bacterial small subunit ribosomal RNA
Source: RNAcentral